This 254-nucleotide ribosomal RNA is filed under the name uncultured bacterium. RNAcentral describes it as "partial 16S ribosomal RNA". It matches the Rfam family "Bacterial small subunit ribosomal RNA", at positions 524 to 776 of the family's 1533-position model. The record is from RNAcentral.
CACGUAGGGGGCAAGCGUUGUCCGGAUUUAUUGGGCGUAAAGGGCUCGUAGGCGGCUUAGUAAGUCGGGUGUGAAACCUCCAGGCUCAACCUGGAGACGCCACCCGAUACUGCUGUGGCUAGAGUCCGGUAGGGGAGCGUGGAAUUCCUGGUGUAGCGGUGAAAUGCGCAGAUAUCAGGAGGAACACCAGCGGCGAAGGCGGCGCUCUGGGCCGGUACUGACGCUGAGGAGCGAAAGCGUGGGGAGCAAACAGG